This 267-nucleotide long non-coding RNA is filed under the name Mytilus galloprovincialis (Mediterranean mussel). The record is from RNAcentral. Lineage: Eukaryota; Metazoa; Mollusca; Bivalvia; Mytilida; Mytilidae.
AUUUUUUAUCAAAUCAUUUAAAAUUCAUUAGUUUUCAUUUGAAUUGAUGAAAAAUAUUCAUAUAGCCAAAAAAUCCAAACAGUGAAAAAAAAGAUUUUUUUGAAUUUGAAUGAAAUCACUGAGGAUGCCAUAAUAUUCAUCAGUUUGACCUUUGCUAAGCAAAAGAUUUUUUUUUAAAUGAGACAAACCUCUUUUUCUACUACAAACAAAAUAAUUCAAAAUGUUCAUAAGUUUGCAGUUAGGUACCAAAAUUUAUAUAAAACCAGA